AUUUGACCUCAGCUCAGGCGUGAUUACCCGCUGAAUUUAAGCAUAUAACUAAGCGGAGGAAAAGAAACUAACGAGGAUUCCCCCAGUAACGGCGAGUGAACGGGGAAAAGCCCAGCGCUGAAUCCCGUGGCCACUGGUCACCGGGAACUGUAGCGUAUAGGUGCGACUGUUCGGUUGUCUUGCUCACCCGAAGUCCCCUUGAGUGGGGCCAUUGUCCAUGGAAGGUGCUAGACCUGUACGGGUGGUGAGGCUGCUGAUGCUGGUCGCUCCUUGGAGUCGAGUUGCCUGAGAACGCAGCUCAAAGAGGGUGGUAAACCUCAUCUAAGGCUAAAUAUGACCACGAGACCGAUAGCAAACAAGUACCGUGAGGGAAAGUUGCAAAGAACUUUGAAGAGAGAGUUCAAGAGGGCGUGAAACCGCUGAGAAGGAAACGGAUAGAGUUGACGAAACCUGGUGGCAUUCAGCCGGGCGACGAUGCGGUACCCGCGUCUGUGUACCUCGUCUGAGGGCACAGAUGUGUGCUUGUUGGCUGCAUUCGUUUUCCUGCCCGGUGCAUUUGCCAUCGGUAUGCGCCGAGAAGUUCGCUGUGGUGCGCUGAAGCUCGCUGGAGAGGACCGUGCCCUCUGGGUGCGGAAACCGUUCGGCGGUGCCCAGGUGUAUCCGUGGUGAGCCUGCCGUAUGCAGACACUGCCCUGCUGUGUGCGCAACUCCCACCUGUCUGGUUGGUGUGGCUAUUUGAGCGGUCGCAUGCGACUUGCUUAUAGCUCCGAUGCUGGCCGAUAUGGUGUGGUUCGGUUGCUUAGGGUGUGUGCGUCUCGGUGUAAAAGUCGACCACCUAUCCGACCCGUCUUGAAACACGGACCAAGGAGUUUAGCAUAUGCGCGAGUCAUUGGGUGGUAAACCUAAAGGCGCAAUGAAAGUAAAGGUCACCGUUCCUGGGUGGCUGAUAUGGGAUCCGUACGGUUGCCGUCAAACAACAAUCCGUGCGGCGCACCAUAGCCCCAUCCCAGUUGCUUGCAACGGGGUGGAGGUAGAGCGCAUACGCUGAGACCCGAAAGAUGGUGAACUAUGCCUGAGCAGGAUGAAGCCAGAGGAAACUCUGGUGGAGGUCCGAAGCGGUUCUGACGUGCAAAUCGAUCGUCUGACUUGGGUAUAGGGGCGAAAGACUAAUCGAACUAUCUAGUAGCUGGUUUCCUCUGAAGUUUCCCCCAGGAUAGCUGGAGCUCAUCAAGAGCAGUUAUAUUCCGUAAAGCGAAUGAUUAGAGGAAUUGGGGACGAAACGACCUCAACCUAUUCUCAAACUUUUAAUGGGUAUGACGUCCCGCUUGCUUGACUGAAGCGUGGACCUUUGAAUGCGAGCUCCAAGUGGGCCAUUUUUGGUAAGCAGAACUGGCGCUGUGGGAUGAACCAAACGUUGGGUUAAAGUGCCUAACUUCCCGCUCAUGAGACCCCAUGAAAGGUGUUGGUUGAUAUAGACAGCAGGACGGUGGCCAUGGAAGUCGGAAUCCGCUAAGGAGUGUGUAACAACUCACCUGCCGAAUCAACUAGCCCUGAAAAUGGAUGGCGCUUGAGCGGGGGACUUAUACCCGACCGUUGCUUGGCUUGUGCGAUUUGCUUGCAAACACGCUCGCCUGGCCGCAACGAGUAAGAGGAUCGCAGUGGUUAGCGUCGAAGGCUUUGGGCGUGGGCCCAGCUGGAGCUUCCACUGGUGCAGAUCUUGGUGGUAGUAGCAAAUAUUCAAGUGAGAUCCUUGAAGACUGAAGUGGAGAAGGGUUCCACGUGAACAGCAGUUGAAUGUGGGUCAGUCGGUCCUAAGACACUGGCUAGUGCCCUUGCGAUCAAGAGACGGAGAUUUCAUCCAUCUUUGGUUGUCGAAAGGGAAAUGGGUUAAUAUUCCCAUACCUGGACACGGAGAUAAGCGCUCAUUGCGAGUGUUUAGCGCGGUAACGCAAACGAACCCAGAGACGUUGAAUGAAGCCCGGGCCAGAGUUCUCUUUUCUGGUUUAGGAACGGACUCCCUGGAAUCGGCUCAGCCGGAGAUAGGGACGUUGUUUCCGUAAAGCGCCGCGGUUCCUGCGGCGUCCCGUGCGCUUUCGCUCGACCCGUGAAAAUCUGGGGGAGGCUAAUUGAAUCUCGUGCCAGACCGUACCCAUAUCCGCAGCAGGUCUCCAAGGUGAAAAGCCUCUAGUCGAUAGACUAAUGUAGGUAAAGGAAGUCGGCAAAUUAGAUCCGUAACUUCGGGAAAAGGAUUGGCUCUAAGGACUGGGCCUGUCGGGCUGUAGCGUGAAGCGAGUGCGGCUUGAUCCGUGCAGGGCGGCUUGUGGCCUCUUCGCGGGGGCUGCGGGCUGCUCGGCUAGCGGUUGAGCUGCCUUGUGGACCGUUACAGCUGCGUGCCACGUCUCCUUCACGGGGCGUUGGUACCUCGGCUGGCGCUAAACAGUCAACUUAGAACUGGCACGGACUCGGGGAAUCCGACUGUCUAAUUAAAACAGAGGAGACAGAUGGCCCUUGCGGGCGUUGACUGUCUCUGAUUUCUGCCCAGUGCUCUGAAUGUAAAAGUGAAGAAAUUCAACCAAGCGCGGGUAAACGGCGGGAGUAACUAUGACUCUCUUAAGGUAGCCAAAUGCCUCGUCAUCCAAUUAGUGACGCGCAUGAAUGGAUUAACGAGAUUCCCACUGUCNUAACACCUUAGCGGACACUGUAUCAAAACAUGCACCUGAACGCCUAGACAACAUGAUUAUUCCACCAAUUGAGGAGGAGUCGAACACCCAAACUCCUACACCUAUAAGACAAACAAGACUUAGAACGCAAGCUGGAAAUAACAAUCCUAUCAAUAAUGAACUAGCACAAAACACUCUAAAUCGAAAUUUAAAUGAAACUCAAACUCAAACACAAAAUAAUAACCUCACGCAAGAACCCAGUAGAAGACUGGGAAGAGAAAACCGGCGUUUCAGACCUCCCAAGCGGGAGAAUGAAACAUGGCCGGAAUAUAGACGACGUUUACAACGAGAAUGCCCAACUAGAUUGGGAUUCUCAACAAAAUGGACAAGGAGCAGCAGAGCUUUGGCCCUUGCGAGGGCCAGAGAAAGAAGAACUAACUCUGAAGACUGAAGAAUAGGCUCCCGAUGAUACCGGGGUCAAGUU
Molecule: ribosomal RNA, 3144 nt
Filed under: Blattella germanica (German cockroach)
Lineage: Eukaryota; Metazoa; Arthropoda; Insecta; Blattodea; Blattellidae
Description: eukaryotic LSU rRNA
Rfam family: Eukaryotic large subunit ribosomal RNA
Source: RNAcentral